CAGUAGCCGCGGUAAUUCGUAGGUGGCAAGCGUUGUCCGGAAUUAUCGGGCGUAAAGGGCUCGCAGGCGGUUUCUUAAGUCUGAUGUGAAAGCCCCCGGCUCAACCGGGGAGGGUCAUUGGAAACUGGGAAACUUGAGUGCAGAAGAGGAGAGUGGAAUUCCACGUGUAGCGGUGAAAUGCGUAGAGAUGUGGAGGAACACCAGUGGCGAAGGCGACUCUCUGGUCUGUAACUGACGCUGAGGAGCGAAAGCGUGGGGAGCGAACAGGAUUAGAUACCCGAGUAGUCCCUGUCUCUUAUAC
Molecule: ribosomal RNA, 301 nt
Filed under: uncultured bacterium
Lineage: Bacteria
Description: partial 16S ribosomal RNA
Rfam family: Bacterial small subunit ribosomal RNA
Source: RNAcentral